CCUUUAUAGUGCCACGAAAAGGAAGUGGCGUAGCUGGAGCGUGAUGGCCGACUCCAGCCAAUCCGAAUAUCGCACCAUUGUGACGCAAGCCGGGUUGCUUGUGUCGAGGGAGGGAGGGAGGGAACAGAGGGUGCGCGUGUGAAAGCUCCGCCCCCAGCCCUAGCUCCUCCUUCCCGCUUCAGCAGGUCCAGGCUCUGCGCCAGUGCAUCCUUCUCCAAGAGUGCGCUGCCUGGGCCCGCUUGCCCUGGAGUGGGCUGUGUCUACUCUUCACGCCGCCUUCUCAGAUCGGGCUGCAUGUCCCCACUCCGUGUUUACAUCUCGUUCCCGCUCCGGGUCUCGGUGACUGGCUCCUCAAGCCGGAGACGCGUGUGGUGCGGCGCGAUGCGGGCGCCAGCGCUGUGUGUGCUGGCGGAACUUCAGCAGUCAACGGAGAGAAGAGUGGAAACCUUACUGGAUGCGGACAGGAGAGCCAGUUACUGAAAGCAGAUAUAACGCGGAUCCUGUAAAGAGUGGAAGGAGAAGACCACUUUUAGUUGCCUCCCUGCUAGCACCCUGACUUGCUCUGCUUGAAUAAGAAUCCAAGGACACAAGCUAAGACAUUUGCACUGGGUUUAGAUCUACUGCGAUUCACAAAACACAAAAGAACUUUCAGUCAGAGGGUGACACAUAAUGAUUUUAGACAAAACUCAGUUUCUUCUGGUGGAAGCUAUUCAGAUUGUUUGGAGAGUGGGAGGAAAAAGGAGUGAAGCAUCGCUUAACAACAAAAGUAAUAAUGCAGGCAGAAUAUUAAAUGGAGAAGCCAGACUUUCAACACAUAGAAAAGAAAGCUAGUUCAGAAUGUUGAGAGACUUGGGAGCUGAUUGAUUGAAGGUGGCACUUAGAAGGUUGCCCUUUUUAAAGAUAAAGGCUGAUACUGUGACUCUGUCCCAGGGGACCUGAGUAAAGAACUCCUCAGAGAUGUGGGACCACUAUUCAGAACAAGAUUUGGAGAGCUGGGGCAGAGAAGAUUUUACCUUGGGGAUUUCUUCAGCUGCGAGUAGUAAAUUGGUUAUGCCUUAAUGAAUGAAGUUUGUCAAAUUUUAAGAUAGGAUGUUAUUACGCCUUUUAAAAGAAUGAGGUAGAGUAUAACAUCUGAUUUGGAGUUCUUUCCAGCAUUUUAAGGUCUUUAAAGAAAACAAAUUGGAGAAAAAUAAAUAAAUAUAGAUCAUGCUGUACAUAGAUUGACAGACAAACCCCUAAAAUGAGAAGGAUCAGUGCGUCUGUCUGUAGAGAGUGACAGCGUUGAAGCAAGACAUUCAGAAGCCAGCCUGACACAAAGGGGACAAGAACAACUGCCACCCCAGCCCCCAUCUCAUUCCAACCCAAGAGACGGAUUGUAUAUUUCCACAUAUGCUGGACAAUAGGCAGAAAGUGGAGACCCAAAGAACUUGUGAUAUGACGGACAUAAGAAGCUUCAGUUGGCCUCAAAUGUCAAAUAAUAUCCUUCCUGAAUAAUCAAGAAUGUCAAGCUUUUACUUUCUACAUCUUGGACUGUACUUUGUACCAAUCUCAAGUCCCAUAUGAUGCACUUUCUAGGUGAAAAGUUUUUUUUUACAGACCUUAAAUUUUUCUUUAUUUACUUUUUAGAGUGAUGGUAUAUAUUAGUUUCACCACGUUAGUAAUUCAUGCUAUAUAAAUGAUAAGCCAAAGUAAGAAAAAUAGUGAAAUGAAUUGCAAAUCUAACUACAUUUUUUAGUUUCCAUAAUCACCACAGAAAUUGCUGUUAGUGCACUUGAUCCAAGAAGAGUCAUUCACAAUCUCUCCCUUGCAUGUUUCCCACCUGGAUACAGAUUCGUUUAGAGGUCAGCCUCUGACACAAGAUCAGUCAAUCCAAUGCCUGCCAUUAUAGUUUUGGAAAGGUGCCUAAAAAGACAUUAAUUUUCCUCCAAAUGACAGAAACUAAAGGCAGGUGAAUGCGGCAGCUAUUGGUGUACUUGGAUGCUGAGGAUCAGGCAGAGUGGCUUGGUAAUGAGAGAGAUGAAUGAGACAGACACCCAGAGAGAAAGGAAAUUAAGGAGCAGUAAAAGCAUUUUACACCCCUCCCUCCACUCUGCCAACCCUCAGGGCUCAUACACUUUUGCUAACUAUAUCACUUAUGUGCUGUUGUAUACCAAAUUACCUCAAAACUAAGUGGCUUAACACAACAGCAUGUAUUAUCCCACAAUUUCUGUGGGCUGAGAAUCUAGACAGGGAGUAGUUGGAUCCCCUGUGUCAGAGUCUUCCACGAGUUUGCAGUCAAAGUCCUGACUGAGGUUGUGGUUUCAUCUGAAAUUUCAAAUGGGGAAGGAUCCUUUCCCAAGUUCACUCAUAUGGCUGCAGUAGGAUUCAGUUUCCUGCAGACUGUUACACUAAUAGCCUCAGUUUCUCACCACCUGUUGGCCAGAGGCUGCACUCAGUUUCUUGUCACAUAAGCUUCUCAGCUCACAGCAUGGCAUCUGCCUUUGUCAGAGUGAAAAGAGAAAAAGCCACCAAGAAGGAAGUCAUGGUCUAAUCUUGGAGGAGAAUCUUAUGACUUUUGCUGCUCUCUUCUUGUUAGAAGCCACUACAUCCAGCCUCUACUCAUGGGAAGGAAAUGACACAAGGUGUGGGUAUCAGGAGGCAGAAAUCUUUGAGAGCUGUUUUAAAAGCAACCUAACACACUGACAUAUUUCAGUCCUUAGGCACUGUAAAAUAGCCCAAAUAUCCCUGCAGUACAUCUGAAUGCUUGCCUAAAUUCUCCAAAAUUCUUUUCUAUUAUUUACAAUCAAAACUUCUUACAUAUAUCGAAUAGUUUAAUUAAAUCCAAAUUUAGAAUCAAGAGGCAAUUGUAUUAUGAGAAAAUAUAUUACUACAUUUCUAAGUUCCUUUGUCACACAUACACAAACACAACUAACAGAGUAUUUAAUAGUGAUAAAGGCUGAGAUAUGAGAAAACAAAAUACUAGGAAUUCUUACUACUAGGAAAAUAAAUCCUAUGAAGAUGAAAAUUGCUGAAAUUUUCAAGUAGAUAGUGAUUUAGAUGCUAACAUUGAAGAUGCACAACCAUGAGGAUGUAGGAGACUGGAUCCCUGAAUCACUGCUUGGAUGAUAGCAGCAAGCUUCUUUGGCGUUAAACAACUUAGAUAUUCUGAUAAAGCAUCUACUGUUGCCUUAAUUAAGGAGAGAUGGAUAAUAUUUUCUUGGAUGAAAGUGAUAGAGGUGAGGAUGAAGAGAAGUGGUCAGAUUCUACA
RNAcentral lists this long non-coding RNA (3247 nucleotides) under Homo sapiens (human). RNAcentral's name for it is "long non-coding RNA NONHSAT162575.1". Lineage: Eukaryota; Metazoa; Chordata; Mammalia; Primates; Hominidae. The record is from RNAcentral.